Long non-coding RNA from Daphnia pulex (common water flea), 1467 nucleotides. RefSeq lists it as uncharacterized. NCBI's taxonomy places the organism in Eukaryota, Metazoa, Arthropoda, Branchiopoda, Diplostraca, Daphniidae. The record is from RefSeq and is a predicted model, not a curated record. The transcript is spliced from 9 exons.
AAAGAUAAAUUGCUUUCCUUUUCGCAUUUCGCUCGUUCAGUCGUUCUUUUCAUUCGGAGACGCUGUCCGUGAAGGUUUGGUACUUUGGUUCAUUCUUACAGGAAACUCUCUCCCCUGAUAUUUUUCGGCUCAAAAAUGCCUGGUGUGAAGUCCAAGCUUCUUCAUUGCAUUACGUGUACCUGCUAGCUGCCGUGGAAUUAAGGUUUUCAUAGACGGUUUGAUGAUUGAGCCCAUGUUGAGGCUAUUUGGGGUGCAGUGGUUUUCCAGUAGAGAUGCGUUGAAAUGGAGUUUGGCAAGACUUUUUGUUUGAUGAGUGUGUCUUCCAGGGGGCAACUUCCUGGUGUUAGCAACAUGCCAACAUGCGGCAAGCUUAUGCCGGUUACGUCAUUUCUGUUGCGGGUGUUGUCAGUUACAGUGUUCGUGAUCUGCCGUCAACUUCAACAUUCUUUUUCACAAAUAUCCUCAAGCUCCAUUAUCAAAAUUUAAAUGCUGAGGUUUUUUAAGAACAGUAAAAGAACUUCAGCUUAAUUCCUAUAUUCUUUGGGUCUUGCCUGUGAUACACAUCAGUUCUUGACUUUUGAAGUAUUUUCCCUGUAGACUUUGCUGGCUGAUUGUUUGAUGUUUCCUUUCAAGUAGGAUUAAUGGCUUGGUGAAGUUGAGCUUUUUCAAGGCAGUUUAAUGUCCACUUCGAUUUGUUGCAGCCAGUUGGUUAACGAUGUGGUGAGCUGUUGUAUGAAGACCAUGUGCUGUUGUGAUGAGCUUCUGCAUGCAGCCUGUGGUGCUGGGGGGGAAGUGCUGUAUGUUGUCUGUUGAGUGUGGUGCUAGCUUUAAAUUUGAAGAACUCACUACCUUACCAAUUGAGUUUUGAGUCAUUCAUUUUUUUAAUUGUGAGCGUUUUCAAAGUCAGUUUGAGUUUAUUUCGGUGUCUAUUUGGUGUGCAGUUCAUGUUCGGGUUGUUUUUUGCAGCCAGAUGUUGAUAGGGAAUUCAAGGCAAGUUGAGCUGCAGGUUCUGUAAGCAAUCUUCAUUGUUGGCGCCAUCCUGGAGUUUGAUAGCAACGUAGUCAUCUGGAAAUGGAUCGUGUAAAUGUUCAGCGGUUUCGUAAUCUGAUUCCAGUUCAAGAUUUUAUCCUGAAUCGAGCUGAAGUCCCUGCAGUAACUGUUUCUGGUGUCAUCCUGAUGUUGCUGUGCCGGUGAAAUACCAGUUGAUAACAAAUUUGAUCUGUAUAUGUGUUUCAUCCUAAGUAUAUGGAAGUUCAAGGUUUGUGAUUGAAUUCUCCAUUAUGAUAUGAUGUGACAAAAGUUUCAACUGUAGUCAUCCUAUGAUAUUACCUCAACCCUAAUUAUUUCGUUCACUUAAUAUUUGUGUAUCAAAGUCAAACCUGCAAUUUUUUGUUAUACUUGUAAAUUUGCUAUUGAAAUCUUUCUGUACAAAUGUUGCAAUAAAAAUAAAAUAUUUAAGCUUUAAAA